GUCUCCGGGCCAAGGCGAGGGAGGGAGGCGCCGGCGCACCUGGCGCCCUGGGCCGCCCCGGCCUCCCGGGUUAGGGCCUCCGGUUACAGCCCCUCCGCGCCGGCUGUGCUCGUCCCCGCGACGGGGCUGCGCCACGCCGCAGACCUCGGGGUCGCCCUGCUCGAGCCCCGGGCCAGGUGGCUGUUCCCGCGGGGGAAGGCGGCGGGCGGCGCCGGCGGCGGGGGACACGGGCGGGGACCGAGCGGCCUCCUGGGCGCGGUGCGGAGCUGCGGCGCGGUGAGUAGAGUACGUGCACCUGCGGGGACCCGGGCGAGGAGGAGCACCUGCGGGGGACCCGGGGGCUCAGGAGGAGCACCUGCGGGGGACCCAGGGCGAGGAGGAGCAUCUGCGGGGACCCAGGGCGAGGAGGAGCACCUGCGGGGACCCGGGGCGAGGAGGAGCACCUGCGGGGACCUGGGGGAUCAGGAGGAGCACCUGAGGGGACCCGGGGCGAGGAGGAGCACCUGCGGGGGACCCGGGGGCUCAGGAGGAGCACCUGCGGGGGACCCAGGGCGAGGAGGAGCACCUGCGGGGACCCGGGGCGAGGAGGAGCACCUGCGGGGAACCCGGGGGCUCAGGAGGAGCACCUGCGGGGACCCGGGGCGAGGAGGAGCACCUGCGGGGGACCCGGGGAAUCAGGAGAAGCACCUGCGGGGACCCGGAGGCUCAGGAGGAGCAUCUGCGGGGACCCAGGGCGAGGAGGAGCAUCUGCGGGGACCCGGGGCGAGGAGGAGCACCUGUGGGGACCCGGGGGCUCAGGAGGAGCCCCUGCGGGGGACCCUGGGGCCGAGUACGAGCUCCUGGGGGACCCGGGGGCCCAGUACCAGCACCUGCAGGGGACCCGGGGGCUUUGCGGCGGAGCCUCUCGUGAUUUUCCAGAACACGCUGAUGCUUAAAAGGAAAAACCAAAGCUCAGAAGUCAGGAGUCCAGCGCUGCCAACUGUACCCAAGAGGCGGGCGGAGCUCGCCGGGAGCGUGGAGGAAAUUAGCGCGAAACUAAAAGUGAAAUCUUGGCUGCAGUAG
RNAcentral lists this long non-coding RNA (1062 nucleotides) under Canis lupus familiaris (dog). RNAcentral describes it as "lncRNA (ENSCAFG00030006335.1)". Lineage: Eukaryota; Metazoa; Chordata; Mammalia; Carnivora; Canidae. The record is from RNAcentral.